AGGAGUUUGACUUUGUGGUAAAAUGCUUACCUGGCACGCAUGAGGCCCUGGGUUCAAUUCCUAGAACUACAG
This 72-nucleotide transfer RNA is filed under the name Fukomys damarensis (Damara mole-rat). It matches the Rfam family "tRNA". From Rfam's summary of the family: Transfer RNA (tRNA) molecules are approximately 80 nucleotides in length. Their secondary structure includes four short double-helical elements and three loops (D, anti-codon, and T loops). Further hydrogen bonds mediate the characteristic L-shaped molecular structure. tRNAs have two regions of fundamental functional importance: the anti-codon, which is responsible for specific mRNA codon recognition, and the 3' end, to which the tRNAs corresponding amino acid is attached (by aminoacyl-tRNA synthetases). tRNAs cope with the degeneracy of the genetic code in two manners: having more than one tRNA (with a specific anti-codon) for a particular amino acid; and 'wobble' base-pairing, i.e. permitting non-standard base-pairing at the 3rd anti-codon position. Lineage: Eukaryota; Metazoa; Chordata; Mammalia; Rodentia; Bathyergidae. The record is from Rfam by way of RNAcentral.